UACGUAGGGUGCAAGCGUUAAUCGGAAUUACUGGGCGUAAAGCGUGCGCAGGCGGCUUUGCAAGACAGAUAUGAAAUCCCCGGGCUUAACCUGGGAAUGGCAUUGGUGACUGCACGGCUAGAGUGUGUCAGAGGGGGGUAGAAUUCCACGUGUAGCAGUGAAAUGCGUAGGGAUGUGGAGGAAUACCGAUGGCGAAGGCAGCCCCCUGGGAUAACACUGACGCUCAUGCACGAAAGCGUGGGGAGCAAACAGG
Molecule: ribosomal RNA, 253 nt
Filed under: uncultured bacterium
Lineage: Bacteria
Description: partial 16S ribosomal RNA
Rfam family: Bacterial small subunit ribosomal RNA
Source: RNAcentral